Molecule: unclassified non-coding RNA, 1924 nt
Filed under: Hevea brasiliensis (rubber tree)
Lineage: Eukaryota; Viridiplantae; Streptophyta; Magnoliopsida; Malpighiales; Euphorbiaceae
Source: RNAcentral
AUGCACGCUCCGGAGGUAAAUCCUGCAAUUUUACGAUAGACACAUCCAAUUAUUUGGCUAUAGAAACAAUAGUAAAAAAGAUGACAAAGUUGAUUCAUCACUAUCUCGGAGGGUUGAAGGCUGGGCAGAUAGGAACUGUAAUGGUUCUACUAAAAUUUGGCCUUGUUUGGAAACAAGGUUGGUUUUCUAAAAAAACAUUCAAGCAAAAUGGGAAACAGAGUUUAGCAUUCAGUUGUAAUUUUUCCAAACAGAAAAUUAGAAACCAAUUUAUCGAGUUUCCUAAAUUUAUACUAAUCAUUAGAGUCUAGUUUUCUAUAUUUUCUUUCAAAAUGAAUUGAAGGGGAAACACCAGCAAGGCAGUAACAUCAUUCUUUUUUGGGUUAAUGUUCAAAAAAAAUCUUGAACUUUGAAGUUUCUAACAAUUCUACCCAAACUAUUUUUUUUAACAAAAAUAUACUAAACUUUUAACUUUUUUAUAAUUAUACCCUACCGUCAACUAGUCCGUUAAAUCUAACAGUCUUUGCCAUGUCAGUAUGUUUAACCCCAAAUUAAAACUUUAAAAAAAUAAUAAUAAUAAUUAUGGAGAAAAUGAAAAAAAUUAUAAAAACCACAUUUCCUCAUCUUCAGGUGUUCUCCUGUCCAGACAAGAGCCCAUCCAAAAUAGCACUGCUCCCAUCUCCUCCUUCCACAUUUUCAACACCCGAAAUUACACUUCAACACACAAACUCCUCCCCCGGCCUGACUUAAGUCUUCUCACUCCCUCAACAAUCAACUGGACAUAGCUCCAAACCACCACAGUCCUUCCAUUGAAGACCUACUCACCACAAUAAUCUCCUUUAUCAAACCUGUACUACAUCAAUCCAGCAUUAUCACCUAGUCCAAACCACAUGCAGUCCACCAUUCCUCGACAAUCACAUCCCUUUACUUCAAUCCCAUGUCCAUCGCCUUAUUCUCAUAUGCAAUAUACCCAACUUUCUCGCCCAAUAAACCUCAACUCCACAAUUUCAAUGUCAACUUCAAGAUCAGGGCCAUAACCAUCUUCACCUUCACACAAAAACCCAAUCUCACACCAAACCUGAAACCAACUUCCUCCUACGCUUAGCUAUGAAUUGCUUCAGAGAGUUCAUUGGUUUCAGAGAACUGCUUCAAGUGUGAAUUACUUCAGAUAAUUGCGAUAUACUGUUAGAGGAGUUGUUGCAUGGGUCGCACUUGAUUGAAAUAUAAUGAAGGAGAAAGGGGAUGGCUUCUAGUGUGGUUGCCAAAAAAGAGGAGAUAAAAGGUGACUAAAUCUAUGAUACAAUACAAAAUGGGUCCUGAUUGGAGCAAUAGGGACCAGUGAUUUGAUUCUAUCGGUGCUUAAUUGAUUUGUGGGAGGCAACAGUAUGUGUGGCAGAGAGUGAGAGGAGCUAGGACUGUACUGUGAGAGGAGCUAGGACUCUGCUAGUGUGGGUUGUCUGUGGAGAGCAUUAGGAAGACUGGCAUUGAGUUUCUACCUAGGAGUGAAGGAAUGUUGCUUGAAGGAGAGUGGUGCUCUAUCGUUGUGUUUGCUUUAAGUGUUGGUGAGAGAAUGGUCUAAAAUGAGCUUUGUCUGUUGUCAUUGGUGGUAACGUUAGCUGAGGAUGGAGGCUGUGAUAGUACUAUGCAAUGAAGAAAAUGAAUCUGUGUUCUUAUGGAAGUUGCCUCGUUUUGCAGAUAUGAAUUUUUCUUUAUUUUCUUUAAUAAAGAAAAUGGUAAUAAAUGUGAUUAGAGGUGAUAAUUGCUGAUUAGGGAGGCUGACAUAGCAUUAAUCGUUAACUUUAACAGCUCUAUUUAAUAGCAGGAUGUAAUUGUUUCAAUGCCAAUAGUUGAGGAUAUUUUUGUUAAAAGAAAGUGUGGGGUAGAAUUGUUAAAAUCCCCAAAGUUCAGGAUUUUUUAGACAUUAACC